GAUUGAACGUGCUUGCACGGACUUGACGUUGGUUUACCAGCGAGUGGCGGACGGGUGAGUAACACGUAGGUAACCUGCCCCAAAGCGGGGGAUAACAUUUGGAAACAGAUGCUAAUACCGCAUAACAAUUUGAAUCGCAUGAUUCAAAUUUAAAAGAUGGCUUCGGCUAUCACUUUGGGAUGGACCUGCGGCGCAUUAGCUUGUUGGUAGGGUAACGGCCUACCAAGGCUGUGAUGCGUAGCCGAGUUGAGAGACUGAUCGGCCACAAUGGAACUGAGACACGGUCCAUACUCCUACGGGAGGCAGCAGUAGGGAAUCUUCCACAAUGGGCGCAAGCCUGAUGGAGCAACACCGCGUGAGUGAAGAAGGGUUUCGGCUCGUAAAGCUCUGUUGUUAGAGAAGAACGUGCGUGAGAGCAACUGUUCACGCAGUGACGGUAUCUAACCAGAAAGUCACGGCUAACUACGUGCCAGCAGCCGCGGUAAUACGUAGGUGGCAAGCGUUAUCCGGAUUUAUUGGGCGUAAAGCGAGCGCAGGCGGUUUGAUAAGUCUGAUGUGAAAGCCUUUGGCUUAACCAAAGAAGUGCAUCGGAAACUGUCAGACUUGAGUGCAGAAGAGGACAGUGGAACUCCAUGUG
Molecule: ribosomal RNA, 637 nt
Filed under: Limosilactobacillus mucosae
Lineage: Bacteria; Bacillati; Bacillota; Bacilli; Lactobacillales; Lactobacillaceae
Description: bacterial SSU rRNA
Rfam family: Bacterial small subunit ribosomal RNA
Source: RNAcentral